GAUCAUGGCUCAGGAUGAACGCUAGCGACAGGCUAACACAUGCAAGUCGAGGGGCAUCACGGGAGUAGCAAUACAACUGGUGGCGACCGGCGCACGGGUGAGUAACGCGUAUGCAACCUACCUAUCAGAGGGGAAUAACCCGGCGAAAGUCGGACUAAUACCGCAUAAAACAGGGGCACCGCAUGGUGAUAUUUGUUAAAGAAAUUCGCUGAUAGAUGGGCAUGCGUUCCAUUAGGUAGUUGGUGAGGUAACGGCUCACCAAGCCGACGAUGGAUAGGGGAACUGAGAGGUUGGUCCCCCACACUGGUACUGAGACACGGACCAGACUCCUACGGGAGGCAGCAGUGAGGAAUAUUGGUCAAUGGGCGGGAGCCUGAACCAGCCAAGUCGCGUGAAGGAAGAAGGAUCUAUGGUUCGUAAACUCCUUUUGCAGGGGAAUAAAGUGCAGGACGUGUCCUGUUUUGUAUGUACCCUGAGAAUAAGGAUCGGCUAACUCCGUGCCAGCCGCCGC
Molecule: ribosomal RNA, 511 nt
Filed under: uncultured bacterium
Lineage: Bacteria
Description: bacterial SSU rRNA
Rfam family: Bacterial small subunit ribosomal RNA
Source: RNAcentral